UCCUCGUUAGUAUAGUGGUGAGUAUCUCUGCCUGCCACGCGGGAGACUGGGGUUCGAUCCCCCGACAGGGAG
This is a non-coding RNA of Mesitornis unicolor (brown roatelo), 72 nucleotides long. The record is from Rfam. NCBI's taxonomy places the organism in Eukaryota, Metazoa, Chordata, Aves, Mesitornithiformes, Mesitornithidae.